RNAcentral lists this ribosomal RNA (497 nucleotides) under uncultured bacterium. RNAcentral describes it as "partial 16S ribosomal RNA". It matches the Rfam family "Bacterial small subunit ribosomal RNA", at positions 28 to 507 of the family's 1533-position model. The record is from RNAcentral.
GAUGAACGCUGGCGGCGUGCCUAAUACAUGCAAGUCGAGCGAACGCACGAGAAGCUUGCUUCUCUGGUGUUAUCGGCGGACGGGUUAGUAACACGUGGAUAACCUACCUAUAAGACUGGGUUAACUUCGGGAAACCGGCGCUAAUACCGGAUAAUAUUUUGAACCGCAUGGUUCAAAAUUGAAAGACGUUCUUGCUGUCACUUAUAGAUGGAUCCGCGCUGCAUUAUCUAUUUGGUAAGGUAACGGCUGACCACGGCAACGAUGAAUAGCCGACCUGGGAGGGAGAACGGGCACACUGGAGAGGAGGAACGGUCAAGACGCCAACGGGAGGCAGCAGAAAGGAAUCGGCGGCGAAGGGCGAAAGCAUGACGGGGAAACGCCGCGAGAGUGAUGAAGGACUUCGGAUCGUAGAAAGAUGUUAUUAGGGAAGAAAAUAUGUGUAAGUAACUGUGAACAUAUUGACGGUACCUAAGCAGAAAGCCACGGCUAACUACGUG